CGAGGGGAAUUGAAACAUCUUAGUACCCUCAGGAAAAGAAAUCAAUAGAGAUUGCGUCAGUAGCGGCGAGCGAAAGCGCAAGAGGGCAAACCCAGUGCUUGCACUGGGGGUUGUAGGACUGCAAUGUGCAAGAGCUGAGUUUAGCAGAACAUUCUGGAAAGUAUAGCCAUAGAGGGUGAUAGUCCCGUAUGCGAAAAACAAAGCUUAGCUAGCAGUAUCCUGAGUAGGGCGGGACACGAGGAAUCCUGUCUGAAUCCGGGUCGACCACGAUCCAACCCUAAAUACUAAUACCAGAUCGAUAGUGCACAAGUACCGUGAGGGAAAGGUGAAAAGAACUGAGGUGAUCAGAGUGAAAUAGAACCUGAAACCAUUUGCUUACAAUCAUUCAGAGCACUAUGUAGCAAUACAGUGUGAUGGACUGCCUUUUGCAUAAUGAGCCUGCGAGUUGUGGUGUCUGGCAAGGUUAAGCAAACGCGAAGCCGUAGCGAAAGCGAGUCUGAAUAGGGCGCUUAGUCAGAUGCUGCAGACCCGAAACGAAGUGAUCUAUCCAUGAGCAAGUUGAAGCUAGUGUAAGAACUAGUGGAGGACUGAACCCAUAGGCGUUGAAAAGCCCCGGGAUGACUUGUGGAUAGGGGUGAAAGGCCAAUCAAACUUCGUGAUAGCUGGUUCUCUCCGAAAUAUAUUUAGGUAUAGCGUUGUGUCGUAAUAUAAGGGGGUAGAGCACUGAAUGGGCUAGGGCAUACACCAA
RNAcentral lists this ribosomal RNA (748 nucleotides) under Campylobacter jejuni. Its description in RNAcentral is "partial 23S ribosomal RNA". It matches the Rfam family "Bacterial large subunit ribosomal RNA", at positions 184 to 934 of the family's 2925-position model. Lineage: Bacteria; Pseudomonadati; Campylobacterota; Epsilonproteobacteria; Campylobacterales; Campylobacteraceae. The record is from RNAcentral.